Molecule: transfer RNA, 73 nt
Filed under: Paenibacillus psychroresistens
Lineage: Bacteria; Bacillati; Bacillota; Bacilli; Caryophanales; Paenibacillaceae
Also listed under: 1 other name
Rfam family: tRNA
About the family: Transfer RNA (tRNA) molecules are approximately 80 nucleotides in length. Their secondary structure includes four short double-helical elements and three loops (D, anti-codon, and T loops).
Source: Rfam by way of RNAcentral
GGAUCUGUAGCUCAGCUGGUAGAGCAGUUGACUCUUAAUCAUCUGGUCGGGGGUUCGAGCCCCCCCGGAUCCA